AUAGCCGCAGAAAUUUAACUGUGCUAAGGUAGCAUAAUCAUUAGCUCUUUAAUUAAGAGCUCGUAUGAAAGGUUAAACAUUAUAUAUUCUAUAACCCUUUAAUAAAUCAAAAUUUAAUUAAGAAUCAAAAUGUUCUUAUUAUAUAAAUAGACGAUAAGACCCUAUUGAACUUUACUUUAGUUUAACUGGGGCAGUUAACUAAUAAUAAUCUUAAUUAAUCUCUUUUUAUAAAAAUCCAAUCUAUUUGAAUUUGAAUAAGUUACCAUAGGGAUAACAGCGUAAUUUGUUUCUAAAGUUCUUAUUUAAAAACAAGAUUGCGACCUCGAUGUUGAAUUAGUGUUCCUUUUUAAAUGCAACAAUUUUAAAAGUAGGUC
This 374-nucleotide ribosomal RNA is filed under the name Gasteracantha cancriformis. RNAcentral's name for it is "partial large subunit ribosomal RNA". It matches the Rfam family "Bacterial large subunit ribosomal RNA", at positions 1927 to 2577 of the family's 2925-position model. Lineage: Eukaryota; Metazoa; Arthropoda; Arachnida; Araneae; Araneidae. The record is from RNAcentral.